Molecule: long non-coding RNA, 220 nt
Filed under: Vitis vinifera (wine grape)
Lineage: Eukaryota; Viridiplantae; Streptophyta; Magnoliopsida; Vitales; Vitaceae
Description: long non-coding RNA (VVIN_LNC005024)
Source: RNAcentral
GCUAUCAUUAUCCUCCGCCCACUUUCUGCCACCUCACUCCCUCCAUGUCAUAAUAAAGAAUUCCCUUCGCAUGCAUGACCCUUCUCUCAUCUCGAAAUUCCUCACGUCUGUGAUGAAACCAUUUGCCUUGUUGUUGCUUCAUUUCUUCGCAACUGGCUUAAUUCUCAAAGAUGGGAGUUUGAAUGUGUGAAAGACUGUAGCAUACCACAUGCAAUGCCUA